This 233-nucleotide ribosomal RNA is filed under the name uncultured bacterium. RNAcentral describes it as "partial 16S ribosomal RNA". It matches the Rfam family "Bacterial small subunit ribosomal RNA", at positions 118 to 347 of the family's 1533-position model. The record is from RNAcentral.
UGAGCAACCUGCCCUUGACUCUGGAAUAACAGUUGGAAACAGCUGCUAAUACCGGAUACGACCUCCGACGGCAUCAUCUGGAGGUGGAAAGCUCCGACGGUCAAGGAUGGGCUCGCGGCCUAUCAGCUUGUUGGUGAGGUAACGGCUCACCAAGGCUUCGACGGGUAGCCGGCCUGAGAGGGCGACCGGCCACACUGGGACUGAGAUACGGCCCAGACCUCCUACGGGAGCAG